CACGUAGGCGGCCUGGUAAGUCAGAUGUGAAAGCCCGGGGCUUAACCCCGGAAGUGCAUUUGAUACUGUCAGGCUUGAGUAUGGAAGAGGGAAGUGGAAUUCCUGGUGUAGAGGUGAAAUUCGUAGAUAUCAGGAGGAACACCGGUGGCGAAGGCGACUUCCUGGACCAAUACUGACGCUGAGGUGCGAAGGCGUGGGUAGCAAACAGGAUUAGAUACCCUGGUAGUCC
This 229-nucleotide ribosomal RNA is filed under the name uncultured bacterium. Its description in RNAcentral is "partial 16S ribosomal RNA". It matches the Rfam family "Bacterial small subunit ribosomal RNA", at positions 568 to 796 of the family's 1533-position model. The record is from RNAcentral.